Molecule: long non-coding RNA, 1694 nt
Organism: Homo sapiens (human)
Lineage: Eukaryota; Metazoa; Chordata; Mammalia; Primates; Hominidae
Source: Ensembl
GAUAGGGUUUCACCAUAUUGGCCAGGCUGGUCUCGAACUCCUGACCUCAUGAUUCACCUGCCUCAGCCUCCCAAAGAGCUGGGAUUAGGGGGUAAGCCACCACACCCAGCCAGUUCGUCAUCUUCUUAAAGGAACACCAGUACUAUUAAGGUAUAGGGUCCCACCUUAUGAUCUCAUUUAACCUUAAUUACUUCCUCGAAGGCCCUUUCUCCAAAUACACACCCAGUAGGGAUUAGAUCUUCAACAUAUGGAUCUGGGGAUGCACAAUUCAGGUCAUAACACCCCAUGCCUCCAGACCCCUAAAAUUUGAACCAAUGUGGCCAACUCCUGCAUCUUUGUGGAUAUCUCCUACUCUCUAGGGUGCAUGAGUUUUACCCAGGUAUCUGGAGAGCAUCCCAACCAUGUCUUACUGCUCACGUCGGAUUAACGUGACGCCGUCAAACCUGUGGGCCAGUGUCAGGACGGCCAGAAUACCCGCCUCUUUGGACCACAUUGUGACAGAGAGUGAAACACUUCGCAUAGUUUCAUGCCAAGGCCACACAUGUCUAUCACUGGUCAUCCAGUGGGAUGCAAACCCAUUUUGUUCCUCCUUCCUGAUGGGCUUUGAAAAGAACACAUUCAUCAGAUCAGCAGCCGCACAGCCCCGUAUUUAAAACUGUUCAUCUGCUGAGUACACACACCAUAUUUGGCACAGCAGCUACAACUGGACUAUUUCUUGGCUAAAUUUUUGGUGGUGCACUGUCACCUGCUGUGACCAUCAUUUUCAGGGGGGCCAGGUGGACAGAGGAAUUGGAGAUGUGUUGGAGGCCAACCUUGAGAGUGGUCCUGACCUCCGCACGCCCCUUGGGAAGCUGUGCUGACUUUGGUUGACUAUCUUUUGGGCAGGGACGGGUGCUCCGCCACGGUGGCCCCUGUGGAAAUGGGCACUCUGCCUUAUGAUGCAGCAUAUACCUUUAGCAGUGGCCUUACCUGCUGCUGGGUCUGUGAAAGAUGGAAUUAGGAACGAAGGGCUGGGGGGAGGUGGCCCAGGCCACCAUCACACCCUGUGACCAACGUGGGGAAUUUAUGCCUCUAGUCCCUUGCAGCACAGGCUCUGUAAGUCUAUAGGCCCCGGAUUCCAGAGGUUCAUGCUUCCAUCAAGGCUAUCUCAACUGAAAGCUCUGGUGUCAGCUGGCCCACCUGGGCUUCCUGAGCCAGGAGACAGGCAGCGAAGAACAAAGCCCCCCCACUGGCAGGGGGAUGGCCUUGACCAUCACCGGGAAAGAGGACUACUGCCACAUGAGGGACAGGGAGAUGUGUGCCUGGCACUCGGGGGCCUGCUGGGGCAUCUCCUGGUGCUCCCACAGCCAGUUCCAGCGGGGCUGGGCUGAACAUGCCAUUUCCAGGAAGAGUCCAGCGCUAAGGCCUCUGGAGGUGUUCUGUUUUGGGAGACCAGGCAGCCAAGUAUUUGUACAAAAGAGGACCCAGAACUGCCCACACCACCACCUCUGGGAUCCCCCCACCCCAGGGGAGGUUAAAGCAAGCAGAGGGACACCGACUGCUGCCACACAGGAGGUCUUUGGCAUCCAAGCUCUGUCCAGGCCUCAGCAUUCUGCAAGAGGACACCACGCUGCCACCAUGUGUCCCAGACAACAGCCAGAGAUGUGGAAGGAAGAGGUGCCGCGUGGACUUCUCUUUUUACAAAGACUUUAUUG